Non-coding RNA from Ovis aries (sheep), 73 nucleotides. The record is from Rfam. NCBI's taxonomy places the organism in Eukaryota, Metazoa, Chordata, Mammalia, Artiodactyla, Bovidae.
UUCCUGGUGGCUCAGACAGUAAAGAAUCUGCCUGCAAUGUAAAAGACCCAGGUUCAAUUCCUGGGUCAGGAGA